AAAUUAAGUUUUUUAUUUUUAUAUUAAUUAUUAUUUUAAUUGAAAUAACUUUUUAUUUAGUAUUUUUUUUACAGAAAUAUUUAUUUUUAAUUAUAGAUGAUUUUACUGUGGGGGACUGUGAAUUUAAUUUUAUGAAGUAUAAUUUUUAUUAGUACCUUUUGUAUCAGGGUUUAUUAAUUAAUUAAUAUGUAUAUAUUAAUUCCCGAAAUUAUAAGAGUUAUCUUUAAAUGUUUCUUAUUAUGAUAAAAUUAUUUAUAAUUUAAAGAUGGGGGUUAUAUGCUAUUCAAUUUUAAUAUAUCUGGUUGCUUAAGAAAUGAAUUUAAUUCAUAAUUAUUAUGUUAAUUUUUAUUUUUAUUAAUUUUAAUAUAAUAAUUAAAAAUUGUGGGGGAUUAGCUCUAUAAUUUUCUUUAUAAGGAUUUUAUUUCAAUUAGUUUUUGUAGGCUUGAUAACAGCCAUCUAAAAUUUCAUUAUAGUUUACACUAAUUAUUUAUUUAUUUUAAGUCUUUUAUUUUUAUUAUUAAGUAUUAUUAUUUAAUUUUUUAUUAAUAGUUAUAAUGAUAGAAUUAGUAGUUUUUAUUAUUUAAGUAUAGUAAUUCGGCAAAUUUUAUCUUCGCCUGUUUAACAAAAACAUGUCUUAUAGAAAUUAAUUUUAAGUCUAGCCUGCUCAAUGAUUAACAAAUUAAAUAGCCGCAGUAUACUGACUGUGCAAAGGUAGCAUAAUCAUUUGUCUCUUAAUUGGAGGCUUGUAUGAAUGGUUGGACGAGGGAUAAACUUUCUUUACUUAAUUUUUAUUAAUUUAAUAUUUUAGUUAAAAAGCUAAAAUGUUUUUGUGGGACGAGAAGACCCUAUAGAAUUUUAUUAUUAAAUUAAUGGAUUUUAAAUUAAUCUGUUGAUUAAAUUUUUUAAUUUAAUAAUUUGAUUGGGGUGAUUAUGAAAUUUUAUUAACUUUUAUUUAUAAUUUAUUCAUUAAUUAUUGUUUUAUUAUUGAUCCUUUUUUAGGGAAUAAAAGAUUAAAUUACCUUAGGGAUAACAGCGUAAUUUUUUUUGAGAGUUCUUAUCGAUAAAGGAGUUUGCGACCUCGAUGUUGGAUUAAAGUUAAUUUUUGGUGUAGAAGCUGAAUAUAUUAGGUCUGUUCGACCUUUAAAUCUUUACAUGAUCUGAGUUCAGACCGGCGUGAGCCAGGUUGGUUUCUAUCUACAAUUAAUCUUGAUAUUCUAGUACGAAAGGACCGAAUAUUAAUAAUAUUUAUUUAUAUUUGAUUUAUAUUAA
This 1269-nucleotide ribosomal RNA is filed under the name Nysius fuscovittatus. RNAcentral's name for it is "16S ribosomal RNA". The stretch from base 1026 to 1185 matches the Rfam family "Archaeal large subunit ribosomal RNA", at positions 2542 to 2701 of the family's 2987-position model. The record is from RNAcentral. Lineage: Eukaryota; Metazoa; Arthropoda; Insecta; Hemiptera; Lygaeidae.